AGCAGCCGCGGUAAUUCCAGCUCCAAUAGCGUAUAUUAAAGUUGUUGCAGUUAAAAAGCUCGUAGUUGAAUUUCGGGGUCAGUAGUUUGGUCAUGCCACAGGUAUGUACUGAUCUUACUGAUUCCUCCUUCCUGAUGAACCGUAAUGCCAUUAAUUUGGUGUUGCGGGGAAACUGGACUGUUACUUUGAAAAAAUUAGAGUGUUUAAAGCAGGCUAACGCUUGAAUACAUUAGCAUGGAAUAAUGAAAUAGGACGUUCGAUCCUAUUUUGUUGGUUUCUAGGAUUGACGUAAUGAUUAAUAGGGAUAGUUGGGGGCAUUAGUAUUCAAUUGUCAGAGGUGAAAUCCUUGGAUUUAUUGAAGACUAACUACUGCGAAAGCAUUUGCCAAGGAUGUUUUCAUUAAUCAAGAACGAAAGUUAGGGGAUCGAAGACGAUCAGAUACCGUCGUAGUCUUAACCAUAAACUAUGCCGACUAGGGAUCGGAUGAUGUUAAUUUUAUAAUGACUCAUUCGGCGCCUUACG
Molecule: ribosomal RNA, 522 nt
Filed under: uncultured Glomus
Lineage: Eukaryota; Fungi; Glomeromycota; Glomeromycetes; Glomerales; Glomeraceae
Description: SSU rRNA
Rfam family: Eukaryotic small subunit ribosomal RNA
Source: RNAcentral